Limnohabitans sp. 63ED37-2 is the source of this 101-nucleotide regulatory RNA element. It matches the Rfam family "SAH (S-adenosyl-L-homocysteine) riboswitch aptamer". NCBI's taxonomy places the organism in Bacteria, Pseudomonadati, Pseudomonadota, Betaproteobacteria, Burkholderiales, Comamonadaceae. The record is from Rfam.
UUACCCAAGGAGCGUUGCAGCCCGCCGCCGUCAAGGCGCAGCGGGUCAGGCUUGGGGCCGUUCAAUGUCUGAAUGAUUUUGCACAACGACGCUCACCUGAU